Ribosomal RNA from Pteropus vampyrus (large flying fox), 126 nucleotides. The record is from Ensembl. Lineage: Eukaryota; Metazoa; Chordata; Mammalia; Chiroptera; Pteropodidae.
GUCUACAACCUGCUCUGGGAGUCCCCGGCCACGCCACCCUGACCGUCGGUCUCGGAAGCUCAGCAGGGUCGGGCCUGGUGAGUACUUGGAUGGGAGACCACCUAGGAAGAGCAGGUGCUGUGGGCG